This 89-nucleotide transfer RNA is filed under the name Mariprofundus sp. EBB-1. Its description in RNAcentral is "tRNA-Ser". It matches the Rfam family "tRNA". From Rfam's summary of the family: Transfer RNA (tRNA) molecules are approximately 80 nucleotides in length. Their secondary structure includes four short double-helical elements and three loops (D, anti-codon, and T loops). The record is from RNAcentral. Lineage: Bacteria; Pseudomonadati; Pseudomonadota; Candidatius Mariprofundia; Mariprofundales; Mariprofundaceae.
GGAGAGAUGUCUGAGUGGCUUAAGGAGCACGCUUGGAAAGCGUGUGUACUAUAAUGGUACCGAGGGUUCGAAUCCCUCUCUCUCCGCCA